This 220-nucleotide unclassified non-coding RNA is filed under the name plant metagenome. Its description in RNAcentral is "partial contains small subunit ribosomal RNA, internal transcribed spacer 1, and 5.8S ribosomal RNA". The record is from RNAcentral.
UUUCCGUAGGUGAACCUGCGGAAGGAUCAUUACAGAGUUCAUGCCCUCACGGGUAGAUCUCCCACCCUUGAAUAUUUAUACCUUAGUUGCUUUGGCAGGCCGUGGAAACACCAUGGGCUCCGGCUUAUGCGUGCCUGCCAGAGGAAACAAACUAUGUUUUUAGUGAUGUCUGAGUACUAUAUAAUAGUUAAAACUUUCAACAACGGAUCUCUUGGUUCUG